CACCUGUUCUCAUGCCGAACACAGAAG
This 27-nucleotide ribosomal RNA is filed under the name Streptococcus agalactiae. RNAcentral also lists the same sequence under 3 other names. Lineage: Bacteria; Bacillati; Bacillota; Bacilli; Lactobacillales; Streptococcaceae. The record is from RNAcentral.